Coffea eugenioides is the source of this 1891-nucleotide long non-coding RNA. RefSeq lists it as uncharacterized. The record is from RefSeq and is a predicted model, not a curated record. The transcript is spliced from 4 exons. Lineage: Eukaryota; Viridiplantae; Streptophyta; Magnoliopsida; Gentianales; Rubiaceae.
UAGUUUUGUACCUCUUCUUUUACAGAACAGAAAACUUGAUAGUUUCCUUUUCCUCGACCGCCGCUCCUCAAAUCCCCCAAACCUAGAACUACCAACAAUAACCACCUACACAGAUGUCGUUUUCAAGUCCCCCGAUGAUACCAUUGAAGUCAACGGCCGUUUUGAAAGUCCCAACCAAUACUCAGAAUACUCAGCUUCAUCAUUCUCGAGAACUCCCUCUUUCAAUUUCAUCUUCGUCCUUGUCAGUCACAAGAAGAUUGUUGUUUGGAGAUCAAUAGAAUUAUUGUAGGGUUUUCUCUCCAGAGAUUCGCCACUUCUUCUCCUCUUCUUUCUUUUCCAUUCUUCCUCUCAUCCCAUCCUGUAAAAUUUCUCAUCUAUUUUCGGUUUGUCCUUUUUUCCAAAACCUUAAUUUUUUUAACCCAAGGCGUGCCCAUGCGUUUGCCAUCAGUUUAGUCUUGAGAGUCCAAACACUUCUGCUUCUUCAUCCAUUUCAUUUUUUCCACUCUAAAGCCAUUACAUCACUCAUCAACAUCUACACGUUCCUUCUUCCUUUUUUCCACCCUAAAAUUUUUUUUGUAGCCCUAAAUCACACCUACAACUUGAAGUGAUUUCUACCAAAAUCUUCUCUCAAACCCUCAACUUAUUCCACGUCUUUUGCUCUCAGAAAAAUAUGGUCAGAGAAGCAGCCAGUGAUGGAAUCCUUUGGGAUGUAUCUAACAAAAGCAUUUCUAGCUGUGAUUUUACCUAACCAUCAGUAAUUAUCUAUUUCUUCUUCCUACUUUACUUAUGUUUCUUUCUUGUUUUUAUUUUUUCAUUGAUGUCGACUUCUUAUUUCUUAGAAUCUGGAUCUGACGACUUCUUAUUUCUUAGAAUCUGGAUCUAAAGCUUCCAAGGUUGAAAUAUUUUUCCUCAGAAAUUGUCUAAAUCGGUAUAUUAUUAUCAAACUUAGUUCAAAUUAAUCUUCUUUGUCUUUGAUCUGAGUGUAAAAAAGAUAUCAAAAUAUGGUUCCUUCUGGCAAAAAAGGGCAAAAGAUCAAUCUUUUUUAGGGCUUUCUAUAUUUUUAUUAAUUUAAAAUCAUUAAAAUCAGAGGUCUAAUUUGGUUAAAAUGAUAUGUACUAAUUUUUAUACAUCCACAAUGGAUUAUUUCAAGUAAUGAUAGCAGUGAAGGCCGCGAUUAAGAAACAGGUUAGCUUUUAAUUUGCUUUUUAUGUGGUUUUUUCUUUUUUCUUUUUUAGGUCUCUGUGGUCUAUUACUAACCCUCUCUGUUUCUUUUAUUCUUUAUUCUGUAUUUAUUUUUUCCUUACUGAAGGGUCUAUCUACAAUGGAUUAUUUUAGGUUAUGAUAGCACUGAAGGUUACGAUUAAGAAAUAGCAAAAAUUGGAAGGAUACAGUGGAUGAAUGGGAGAGAUUGAAUCGACUUGAUCAAGCAUCAGUAGCCAUCAUUGACUUAACAAUGGCCGCUCCAGGAGCAGUCGCUUCGCCCCAUGCAGCCCCUUUUCAAAGCCGAUACGUUCAUCGACAACAAGCGGAAAGAUGACAUCCGAAUCAUCAACAUCUCCAACACACAAUCUAUCAGCGACACUGUUUGCACAAACUUAGGUUAAGUGGAUGAUUGAUCGUUGGGCUUCAAUUUCAUUCCUUGACAAAGCAAAAAGAGUUAUGCUUGAUGCUUCAGUGUAUCAAAUCUGCAAAAGCAAGGAAUCAAGCUAUCAUUCAGCAUAUUCUAGCUAUUCUUAUGCGUAUUGUUUCAGGGAUUGUGGAGUCUAUGCAUGUUGCUAUUGCUGGUUGGGGAAAGUUUCAAGAUUAACGCAAAUUGGGAGUUGCUUCUGGAAAUUGGUUCACAUAUCGCAUGUUUCAUUGAUUGAUACUUGUAUAGAAUGGUAUAUUUUUA